This 301-nucleotide ribosomal RNA is filed under the name uncultured bacterium. RNAcentral describes it as "partial 16S ribosomal RNA". It matches the Rfam family "Bacterial small subunit ribosomal RNA", at positions 509 to 808 of the family's 1533-position model. The record is from RNAcentral.
CAGUCGCCGCGGGAAUACGUAGGGUGCAAGCGUUAAUCGGAAUUACUGGGCGUAAAGCGUGCGCAGGCGGUGUUGUAAGACUGAUGUGAAAUCCCCGGGCUCAACCUGGGAACUGCAUUGGUGACUGCAACGCUGGAGUGCGGCAGAGGGGGAUGGAAUUCCGCGUGUAGCAGUGAAAUGCGUAGAUAUGCGGAGGAACACCGAUGGCGAAGGCAAUCCCCUGGGCCUGCACUGACGCUCAUGCACGAAAGCGUGGGGAGCAAACAGGAUUAGAUACCCCCGUAGUCCCUGUCUCUUAACA